GACGAACGCUGGCGGCGUGCCUAACACAUGCAAGUCGAGCGGAGUCGAUUGACGGAAGCCUUCGGGCGGAAGAUGGUUGACUUAGCGGCGGAUGGGUGAGUAACGCGUGGGCAACCUGCCUCGAAGACCGGGAUAACAGCCCGAAAGGGCUGCUAAUACCGGAUGUGGUCAAGGAUCCGCAUGGAUUUUGAUUAAAGGGGAAACCCGUUUCGAGAUGGGCCCGCGUCCUAUCAGCUAGUUGGUGAGGUAAAAGCUCACCAAGGCGACGACGGGUAGCCGGCCUGAGAGGGUGACCGGCCACACUGGAACUGAGACACGGUCCAGACUCCUACGGGGGGCAGCAGUGGGGAAUAGUCUACAAUGGCCGGAAGGCUGAUAGUGCGACGCCGCGUGAACGAGGGAGCCCUUCGGGGUGUAAAGUUCUUUUCUAUACGAGCAGUGCUAUAUAUAUGGAUAGUAUAUAUAGAGGGAUAGUAGUAUAGGAAUAAGCAACGGCUAACUCCGUG
RNAcentral lists this ribosomal RNA (506 nucleotides) under uncultured bacterium. Its description in RNAcentral is "bacterial SSU rRNA". It matches the Rfam family "Bacterial small subunit ribosomal RNA", at positions 28 to 507 of the family's 1533-position model. The record is from RNAcentral.